This 67-nucleotide transfer RNA is filed under the name Marmota monax (woodchuck). RNAcentral's name for it is "tRNA.Gly". The record is from RNAcentral. Lineage: Eukaryota; Metazoa; Chordata; Mammalia; Rodentia; Sciuridae.
GGUUGUGGUUCAGUGGUAGAUCACUUGCCUACCAUGUGUGAGGCACUGGGUUCGAUUCUCAGCACCA